UAGGGAAUAUUAGGAAUGGACGAAAGUCUGAUCUAGCAACACCGCGUGUGCGAAGAAGGCCUUCGGGUCGUAAAGCACUUUUUGGAAGGAAUAGGAAGGAAUGUACUUCCAGAAUAAGUCUCGGCUAACUACGUGCCAGCAGCCGCGGUAACACGUAGGAGGCGAACGUUAUCCGGAUUUACUGGGCGUAAAGCGCGUGUAGGUGGUACUGUAAGUAGGGCGUGAAAGCUCCUGGCUCAACUGGGAGAGGCCGUUCUAAACUACAGAACUAGAGGAUGGUAGAGGGAGGUGGAAUUCCAGGUGUAGCGGUGGAAUGCGCAGAUAUCUGGAGGAACACCGGUGGCGAAGGCGGCCCCCUGGACCAUUCCUGACACUCAGACGCGAAAGCUAGGGUAGCAAACGG
Molecule: ribosomal RNA, 403 nt
Filed under: uncultured bacterium
Lineage: Bacteria
Description: bacterial SSU rRNA
Rfam family: Bacterial small subunit ribosomal RNA
Source: RNAcentral